This is a long non-coding RNA of Glycine soja, 3595 nucleotides long. RefSeq lists it as uncharacterized. The record is from RefSeq and is a predicted model, not a curated record. The transcript has 3 exons. NCBI's taxonomy places the organism in Eukaryota, Viridiplantae, Streptophyta, Magnoliopsida, Fabales, Fabaceae.
UGGUUACGAAGGAAAAACCGUUCGUUUCAGAAGAACAAGAGCUUCUCUCUAACAUGCGAUUGUAGGGUUUCGUUCUUCAUUGACUGGUUCGUUGUUGCGCGAGAGAAGUGGCGUGGAUUGAAGAAGGGUUUCAAGGGGUCUGUGAAGAAUGAAGGAAUAAUACUUUAAAGUUAAGCUUCACUUUGGUGGUAAGUUUGUCCAUGGGGGAAACAAACUUACCUACAAGGGGAAUGACUGUGUAUGGAAAUGUAUGGCUGAUAGGUGGUCUUAUUUUGAGAUAACUGGAAUUCUAAAUGAGAAAGGAUAUAAAGAUGUUGAGACUCUUUGGUACAAGGUUGUAGGCAAGGAUCUAAAUCAUGGUUUGAAACAACUGGUUGAUGAUGCUAGUGCUUGGGAGAUGGUUGACAUUGCUAGAUGCGAAGGACGUGUUCAUCUCUAUGUUUUGCACUCUGUUUCAGUCCUUCAGGUUGUCCAUUUUAUUGAACCUGGGGUAGAGAAUGGAUCUUAGGGGAUUGAAGGAAAUGGAGGGAAUGAUCAAAAUGAUGAAAAAGAGACCCCUGUGGCUGAAGGAAAUGCUGGUGAUGGUGAUAAAAAUCUUUUGGCAGAAGAGAACAAUAUUCAUGAAGAAACUCCUCUAGCUAAAGAGAAUAUUCCUGAUGUAAAUGUUGGUUCUACAAUAGGUGGUUCUAGUGCAACAAAAGAUGCUGAUGUUACAAUAACCUUCAGUUAUCCGAAAGAAGAAACCAAUGACAAAGAAGGGUUUGCAGGGGGUAAAUGCACCUGUUGAAAAUGUGAUUGUUCAUGCAAAGGGUUCAACAUCUACACAAAACUAAGGUGUCAAGGCAAGGAAGAGAACUUCAGGUACACAGUAGCAAAGAAAGUCAUUCAAAAGGCCACAGGGAAGACCGAAAGGUUCAACAUCUACAGACAAAGAAGGUGUACUACCUCCCGAACCUGGACCUAAAAUUAAUGAUGAUGUACAACAUGAAGUCCCCCUAUAACAUCAGAACAUGGAAAUGGAUGAUGACUCAUACAACUCAGAGAAGUUACAGGCAGAAUCAAAAGAUGAGGACGAGUCCAAAAUAAGACAGGAACACCCAGUGUGGGUUAUGCGUAACGACCUGAAAGAUUACAAGUGCGUAACGAGAACUUUGUUUCCAAGUAGACAUUAGUUCAAGGAGGCUAUCAUGACAUAUGUUGUUCAGUCAGGUAGAAAUUUGAAGUUUAACAAAAAUGACAAGGUAAGGGUAAGAGUUGAGUGUAAGGAUGGAUGUCCAUGGUCAAUUUAUUGUGCAAAGUUGGAUGUGGAAGACAUGCAGCAAAUAAGGACAAUCAAUGAUGAACCUGUAGCAGGGACUAUAGAGUUAGAAUGAUGAAAUCAAAGUGGCUAUGCAAAAGAUUAGUGAAUGGUAUUAGAGAAAACCCAAACAUCAAACUGAUAUAAGAGAAAGGGUUCAUAAGGAGUUUAACUAUGGAGUGUCAAAGGCAACUGCACCAACGGCAAGGGCCCAUGCAAAGACUCUUGUACAUGGUUCAUUUUUAGAACAGUACAAGAGAUUAAAUGACUAUACAUAUGAGCUGAUGAAGUAUAAUGAAGGGUCAACUGUUGUUUUAACAACACAUCCUUAUGAAGGUAAUCCAGAGGAGUUAGAGAACUCUAACAGUGAUGUCAGUCCUGCAUUUCAUAGGCUUUACAUUUGUGUGAAGGCCUUCAUAGGUUUGGACAGCUGUUUUCUGAAAGGGCCAUUUGGGGGAGAGAUUUUAGCUGCAGUUGGAAGGGACCCAAAUGACCAGAUGUUGCCAAUAGCUUAUGCUGUGGUCGAGGGUGAGAAUACCAACUCCUGGAAAUGGGUUAUGGAACUUCUAAUCAAAAACUUGGGAGGUACAGAAAAAUUUCUAAAGUAUACCAUCAUAUCAGACCAAUAGAAGGUUAGUUAGAUUAGCCCCUUAUCUUUUUGUGUUGGUUCAUAUUAGUCCUUUAUCUAUUUAUGUUGGUUCAUAUUAGUCCUUUAUCUUUUUAUGUUGGUUUAGAUUGAUCCCUUAUCUUUUUAAGAUGGUUCAUACUGGUGCUUUAUCUAUUUAUGAUGCUUCAUAUUAAUUCCUGAGUUAUAUGACUAAUAACACAUGUGAUAUUUCAAUGUUAUGAUUUAUUGAAUGUUAUUGAAGAUCUACUUCUACGCAUCUCUCAAAGAUUUUGUCUGAGGCACAUGUAUAGAACUUCAAAAAGAAGUUUCCUGGUCUUAAGCUUAAGCUGUUAAUGUGGAAGGCUGCCAAAGCAGCAUACACUCGUGCUUAUGAGGAUGCAAUGAAGAAGAUGAGAAAGGAAAACGAAGAAGCCUUCGAAUAUUUAUGGAAAACUUUCCCUGCACGUUAUUGGAGUAAGUCAUGGUUCACUUUGGACUCCAAGUGUGACGUUUUACUUAAUAAUAUGUGAAUCAUUUAAUAGCGUCAUCCUAGAAGCUAGAGAAAAGCUUAUUGUGUCCAUGUUAGAGGAUAUACACAUCUAUCUAAUGGAGAGGUGGGACACUAACUCAAAAAAGGUUGUUGCAUGGGAAGGUAGUGUACUACCAAACAUAAAAAAAAAAAAAGAAAAAAAAGAUUGAGGUUGGAAUCCAUGAAUACAAAUAAUUGGCUUCCUAGGUACUGUUUUGGUUUUUUAGGUUGAUUGCAUGCAUGGUUAUAUAUACAUGUAUUGCCUAAAUGCAAUGCAUGGAUUUUGUAGGAUGGCUAGGGACCAUUUGUUUGAUGAAGUUAGACACAUCACCCAACUUGGAGACAAAUUUAUAGUGAACUUGCAAACUCAAGAAUGCUCAUGCAUGAAAGGGAUGCUUAAAGGAAUACCAUGUGUGCAUGUUAUAUGUUGCAUGAAUAUGAGGAACCACCUAAACCCUAAGGAUUACAUCCUAGACUUUUACAGGAAAGAAGCAUAUGAAGCAUGCUACUAGUACAUUAUCCAUCCGACUGAUGGGGAACAUUUGGGACAUUACUGAAUUCCCUGAUGUGCAACCACCUCCCCCGAAGAAGAUGCUUGGUCAACCUAAAAAUCAGGAAGGAAGGAAGCUGGAGAGACAUCUAGUAGCAGUGCAAAUAGGAUGAGCAGGAAAGGAGUAAAAGGUCGUUGUAGGAGGUGUGGAGAAACUGGCCACAAUAGAUCCACUUGUCCAUUGGGGCCCUUACAGUUAAAGAAAUCCAAACCACUGUAGAUGAACAAAGCCAACAAACAACCACCGAUGCACACACUGAAACCCAACAUCAACCAACCCACACAAACCCAACCACCUACAUCAACCCAAACCCAACCCCAAACCCAUCAAGCUGAAAUUCAAGAGGGUAGACCGUUUAGGAAAAAGCUGGAAACAAGGGGAAAAGCUUAGCCACUGCCAAAUGGAGUUCAAAACCUGGAUGUUUAUGUUUUUUGUUUAAUAUCGUUAGCUACCUUUGAAAAUAUUUAUUUUUUGUAUGACUGGUAUUGGUAGCAGUGUCUGGUUUAUUUUCCUGGACAAAUGUAUGGUUUAUUUUGCGGGACAAAUGUAUGUUUUAUUUUGCGAGACAAAUGUAUGGUUUCAUUGAGUAAAAGUUAUUUCUAUUUGAUCAA